ACAACGAUAGAAAUCUCAGGGGCAGCUUGUGAUGAGUUUAACAGAAAACCCAAUGAAUUCGAAUUUGUGUCCCCAGAUUUAGAAAAAUUAACAGUCAGAGUAAAACACAUGAA
This 113-nucleotide non-coding RNA is filed under the name Paramoeba aestuarina. The record is from RNAcentral. Lineage: Eukaryota; Discosea; Flabellinia; Dactylopodida; Paramoebidae.